GGGGCGGAUGUAGCCAAGUGGAUUAAGGCAG
Molecule: transfer RNA, 31 nt
Filed under: Populus tomentosa
Lineage: Eukaryota; Viridiplantae; Streptophyta; Magnoliopsida; Malpighiales; Salicaceae
Description: partial tRNA-His
Source: RNAcentral